This is a non-coding RNA of Dermacentor albipictus, 1949 nucleotides long. The record is from RefSeq and is a predicted model, not a curated record. NCBI's taxonomy places the organism in Eukaryota, Metazoa, Arthropoda, Arachnida, Ixodida, Ixodidae.
CACACGUGCGACCGUGUAGCGCGUGCCAAGCGCAAGCUCGCCGCAUUCCUCCGACGACUAGCUCUGUGACCUGCGUUUCUCUGCCCUGUCCUCUUCAUUCGCUAUCAUCGCAGAAUUCUACGCAUAUCAAGGCUGACCUGCUAUCUGCCUUUUAGAGACGCGUCAUGCGUGAUUCCGGGUUCGUGAAGACGCUCCUGAGGUCGUGGCAACUCAUCUACAUUGUAGCCGUGCCCCUGCUGCUGCUACCACUACCACUGUACAUGAGGAGUAAGGCCGGCCUGAGUGCGUACGCGAUGCUCUGGAUGGCCUUCUACUGGACGGCAGAGGCCAUUCCGCUUCCGGUCACGGGGCUCAUGCCGCUCGUGCUGUUUCCACUGUUCGGCAUCCUCACUACUGCCCAAACAACCAAGAUGUAUUUCAACAACAUCGGCUUCGUCAUGUUCGGAUCGCUAAUCGUGGCAGCAGCUGUGGAAGUAAGCCACUUACACCAUCGCCUCGCCAUCGGGUCGCUUCUGACUGUAGGGACCAGCAACCGCAGACUCCUACUGGGUUUUAUGCUGGUCACCAUGUUCAUGUCGAUGUGGAUUCCCAAUACUGCGUCUGCCUCCAUCAUGGUCCCCAUCGUCAUGGCUGUAUUGGAUCAGAUGCAAGUUCUCACCAAGGAGGCCGAAGUGACGCUUGUCAGUCCCAUGAAGUCCCCAGAUCCCCCUGCUGGCCAGGUCGUUGAAGAGGCACUUCGACACGAGGACGAGCUGCAUGUAAUCCAGAUGCGCAAGGUGAUGCUGCUGUCGGUCGCCUACGCCGCCAACAUCGGCGGCACCGGAUCGGUGAUCGGCACGCCACCCAAUCUGAUCUUGCAGGCGAUGUACGCUAAGCACUUCAAGCAAGACGACCUCACCUUCCUGGCGUGGAUGCUAUACAACGUGCCACCAAUGCUUGCCUGCACUUUCCUGGCGUGGGUCUAUACACAGUGGAUCGUGGCCAAACUCACACCCAAGGGCACGGAACAAGAAAGUCGCGAGAAGAUCAAGCAGGAGCUCGAGCGCCGCUACAACAACCUUGGACCGCUCAAGUUCCAGGAGGCGGCAGUGCUGUUGCUCACCUGCAUCCUGAUACUUCUCUGGCUCACGCAAAACCCCCGAAUUGUCCCCGGUUGGGCAAGCCUGUUCCCGUACGGCAAAGACAUCACGUCGUGCGUGCCGGCGGUGCUCAUUACCAUCUUGAUGUUCGUCGUGCCCAAGGAACCACUGCGCGGCUCCAAGAGCCUAGGCCUCCUCACCUGGGAGGAGGCCAAUUCCAAAGUUCACUGGGGAGUCGUGCUCAUUAUAUGCGGUGGCAUGACUCUUGCUGAGGCUUCCAAGGUGUCGGGUCUGUCCACGAUCCUAGUGAGCAAGCUGCGCGGCCUGAAAGUGAUGCCGAGCUACGUGGUGGUGUCCAUCCUCUGCUUCUCCGCCUCCAUCCUCACCGAAUUCACCAGCAACACGGCCAUCAGCGCCAUCAUGCUACCCAUCGUGUUCGAGAUGGCCGUGGCGCUCGAAGUACACCCGCUGUACUUCGCCAUACCGGUGACCAUCGCCUGCUCGUUCUCAUUCAUGCUUCCGGCGGCAACGCCGCCAAACGCCAUCGUUUUCGAGAUGGGGAACUUCAAGGUGACCGACAUGGAUGAAACGGGAAAGUGUAUUGCUGCUUCUGAUGCCGGUGUUCGCGAUGGCACUGACCAUAGACAAAGAAAGUGGUGGCUACCAUGACGUACUGGUGGCCAUCGAGGAGUCCGUCGAGCCGAACGAAGCGCUCGUCGAGGCCAUCAAGGCACUCCUGCGCGCCGCCUCGUCGUCUCUGCACCGGGCGACGGGGGGCCGCGUCCACCUGGCCAGCGUCACGCUGGCGGUUCCGCGGCACUGGCCCCGACGUCCCGGUGCCCAGCAGGUGCCCCAUGACCCGUGGUCCAG